AACGGACGCUGGCGGCAUGCCUAACACAUGCAAGUCGAACGAAGGCUUCGGCCUUAGUGGCGCACGGGUGCGUAACGCGUGGGAAUCUGCCCCUCGGUUCGGAAUAACAGUUAGAAAUGACUGCUAAUACCGGAUGAUGACUUCGGGCCAAAGAUUUAUCGCCUAGGGAUGAGCCCGCGUAAGAUUAGGUAGUUGGUGGGGUAAAGGCCUACCAAGCCGACGAUCUGUAGCUGGUCUGAGAGGAUGAUCAGCCACACUGGGACUGAGACACGGCCCAGACUCCUACGGGAGGCAGCAGUGGGGAAUAUUGGACAAUGGGCGAAAGCCUGAUCCAGCAAUGCCGCGUGAGUGAUGAAGGCCUUAGGGUUGUAAAGCUCUUUUACCAGGGAUGAUAAUGACAGUACCUGGAGAAUAAGCUCCGGCUAACUCCGUGCCAGCCGCCGCAGUAA
RNAcentral lists this ribosomal RNA (449 nucleotides) under uncultured bacterium. RNAcentral's name for it is "partial 16S ribosomal RNA". It matches the Rfam family "Bacterial small subunit ribosomal RNA", at positions 29 to 523 of the family's 1533-position model. The record is from RNAcentral.